UUUUAAAAAGACUCUGGAACUUUAUUAAAUGAAUGUGGUGGAUCAGGCAAGUAAAUCAUGAGGGAAUAUACAGCUGUGAAGUCAGUGAUGCUGAGGAGACUCUGAUAACCAACACCUUUCUGAGGAGAGAGAAAAGUCAAGAGGAUUCAACCAAUGUUGGAGCCAUUAUAGGUGGAGUGGUUGGAGCCAUUUUGGUCGUAGCAGCAGUAGUUUUCCUGGUGCUGCACUGUAAAAAGAAAAAAGGUUGACAAGAAAACAAUGUGAGAGAGUCAAACAAUGAUGGAAACAUAAUUUGCUCUCGGCGCCCUCUGGUGGCCACAGAGGCAGUUACACUACAGUUGGAAGAAUUACCUCCAGUACAGCUCCACUUUCAUCUUGUUUACAUGUUACAUCCUCUGUUCUUUUACAUUUACUCUCAUUAGAUUUAAUAACAUGGACAUAUAAGAUUAUCUUUCAGUCCUGUAUUUGAUCUACUCCUCCCUCUGUUCUCCUCUUUUCUUCCGACCAACUAAAUCUCAGGCUUCGUAACUUAGAUAUGACCUGUGCAGAUCUGCUGUCCUCUACAGUCUUGAUGUAAAUCCCACAGGAGAUAUUUACUGGGCUCCAAAUAAAAUAUGUA
Long non-coding RNA from Lates calcarifer (barramundi perch), 619 nucleotides. RefSeq lists it as uncharacterized. Lineage: Eukaryota; Metazoa; Chordata; Actinopteri; Centropomidae. The transcript is spliced from 4 exons. The record is from RefSeq and is a predicted model, not a curated record.